UUCUCCAUGUUGGUCAGGCUGGUCUUGAACUCCCGAUCUCAGGUGAUCCACCUGCCUCGGCCUACUCUCUUAAUUUAAACAACUAUUAAAUGAGACAAUACAUUGCAAAGCAUUUAGAAAAGUGCCUGACACAGAAAUAAGUUUUCAAUAAACACGAAUGUUUGCUGUUAUUACAUAAAUUUAAAAAAAAAAAAAAAAAAAAAGCCACCUGGCUCCAUUCUUGGUUGGCCACAAACUCUGAAGAGGUGGAGUUAAAGUGUGUGAGGUAUGUCGGAAAACCAAAACCUCCCAUGCAAGUCACUACUACAGCUGACAUCCUGGAGCCAGAGAAUUUGGUGAACGUCUUCAAUGGUCACAACAGAAAAGGGAACUAACUCUAGAUCCCCAGGCUGACUUGCCCACUGAGCCUGGAGGGCAAACUGCUAAUUAACUCAUCUCCCCACCUUUCUUUGCUUGGGUUCCCCUCCUUCCAUCUUCACCCCUGUGCCAACAGUACAUCUCCACAGAUAGCCUGCUCUCGUGUUCCCUCUACUGGAGGGCUGUGGUCCCAGAGUUGCUCCAACAUCCGACUUGGCUCCCUGCAGAUGGAAUGUCCUCCUCCAGGGAGAGGUGCUGGAGGUCAAGUGCUAAUGUAUUGUCAACCUUUGACUCCAGAGAAGCGGAUUAUAUGAUUUAAUGAUAGUUCCGCAACAGAAAAGAUUUUGAAACGUGUAGCUCAAAACAGUAAAAUUUCAGCGAUUAUCUGAAACUGAAGUAGUCCAAACUGCUGACUGUGUAACCUGAGCAACUUGUUUUAACUCCUCGGAGGCUGUUUCCUCAUCUGUACAGUGAGAAUAGCAGUACUUACCUAACAAGGUUGAGGAUUAAAUGAAUUAGUAUUUGUAAAGUGCUUAGAAUGGUACAUAGCACAGAACAGUGUUCUAUAAGUAUUUCUUGAAAAAAAUAAAUAAAGAAAGAAGCCUACCUUAAACCUUAAGAGAAAAUUUUUUAAAGCCAAAAUUUUUAAAAGCUAAAUUUUAGAAUCAAUUGCAUUUUAAAGUCAUCACUAAACAUGAGGCUGCUGCUACACAGUCACUUGUGCUGGAUUAUAUAACAGGUGAAAACUUAUUCUCUUGGGAAUUUCCAGAACUCUGUAGCACAGCCAAAAUACACUGACCUUGAAUACACUGUUCUUGAACAAAGUGGAUGUACUGAACACUGAAUUGAUGUUACUACUUCGUACCAAGCACACAGCACUGAAUGCUCUCACGCUCAAUUAUCUGACAGUGAUGCUAGUAAGAAUAAGACAUAAUUUUUAAUCUUAUUUAAAACGUAUUAUGCACUCCCAGAGUACUUAAAAGAAAACUACUCUUCUGCUCUUCAUAGAUAUCUGUUCAUAAGAAGAAAAACAGCUGGUUUGGGGGCUGGUGGUGGGUUUUCCCACUGAUUUCAAAAGACAGAGAGCUAUGCAUAUGCUAACUUCCGAAGAGGCUAUCAUCAGUCACUGGAAAUCCACAGAAAAGGUCAUUGCCAGAGAUCUGCCACGUGUGAUCCACCUACUCUCACGUCAAGGCCACUACACCAGGCUAAUGCAAAGCCCCUGGGAAGGUGGCCCAGUGCAGGACAGACACAAAAGGGACCAUAGUCAAGGAGCAGCCUUACUUUCUCACCUCACCCAAGAUACAGACCUAUGGGCCAAGGGAGGGGAAAUCAGCAUAUGGCCACCCAGGCCAGGGUUACGCCCACUCCUCAACCCUGCUCCCAGGGAGAAAGACCGUACUCUUGUCAAGGGCCCUGUGGGUGAGAAAGAGCUAGAGGGCCGCUGUGACCACUGAGUUUCUGCACCAUUUGGUCAACUGAAAAUCAUGACCCUCUCUGGGUCUCAGUCUUCUCAUCUGUGAAGUGGAGGGGUAGGACAAGAUGACACGAAUAACAGAAUGAGUGACUAUAACCCAAGCCCAUAGUUUAGUGUCAAGGAUUGUGAGAACGAAGCAAAAGGCAUCAAGCACUCUGAAUUGUACAAAUAAUGAAGAUAAUGCCCACAAAGACAGAUGGAACAUGCCUCACAGCUUCUCAGUUUUCCUAUGACUGUUAAGAUAACUAGUCACCAUGUAGCAUGACUCCGAGGACCACGUAUGGGCUUUGCAUCUUCUGUGAAGGCUUCCGUCGCCCUUGGGGAUAUGUCGCUGUUCUGUCCACCAGCACUCUCUCAUGUUCUCAGGACAGUGGCAUAAUUAUCCAUUUCUGUUCUGUCCCUACCCCCUAAAAGAUUACUCUAGAACCUGUUCUUAUUAAGCUCUGCAUUGUCAUUGCUGUCAUUGUCAUGCAGUAGGUGCUCAAUAAAUGACAAUACCUAACCCACUGUACACACAUCAAAAACAAAAGAGCAUCUAUGGGUCUUUAUACUGUAAGGUUUUACUUUCUUCUCCCCUACUUCCCUACUAUUGGUCCUUCCAUCUAGACCUUACCAUCUGCAGUGGUCUACAUUUGGGACCCUUACAGUAAACAUGUGCUACCUCUCUGAAAAGUCAUGCAUCUGCUCCCAGCUCCGUCUCUGCAUGACCAGGCGAGUAAGUGCAGACCUCUUCUUGCAUCUGUGUGGUUCUCUUUUCCUUAGGCUGAAAUGCUGCUCUCCCCGUCAGCUGUGAGGAUGCACUUACCGCCCUCUUGCCCACCAUGGUAUGGGGCCUGGAGAGCUAAGCUUGUGUCUGCUCUGACUUUGGACAGUCCCGAGAGGGGUCAUUCCUCAGCAGCUCGUUCCAUCACUGAGAAGUGCUGCCUGAGAUCCCAGAGUUGCCUGCACCCUUGAGGUUCCUCUUUGGUCAUCGUUCCUUGCUUGGACUUCUUUAGAAGUCUAGAGACUUCCGAGGUUGGUGAGCAGACUGUGUCCUUAACAAGCACUUUGUUUCUCAGGGGCUCCCCAGGUCCCUAACCACCUCCCUCUCAGACUCCCAAACCCUGGAACUGAAUUCAAGGCAACCUUCUUCCCUCUUUGAAAGGUUUAACAAACAGCAUCUAAACUUUUACCUUGGAAAGCACAUUAACCAAGUUCCAAGUCACAUGAAUUAAGGGAUGGCCCACUUAAAACAAACCACACUGAGUAGCUCCGAGGAAUGUCUCCACUGGUGCAAGUGCAAAAUCCAAGCAAAGGCCCUGAUUAGCAACUGAGUGUGCUUCGGGACACCGACCCCUCCUGCCUGGCCCUCUGCCGCUGCAGCAACACAUGUGAACGACACGGUAACUGAGCACACCCCUGAGCACACCCUGGGAAACAGACCGCAGCCCUCCCUGGCGCCCAGUGAUUACAGGCCAAGGCUGAAAGCAGCAACAAGAACCAAGAAACAAAGCCUUCUGUGAAACCAGAAACCACACAAGGUCACAAAAACAGCAAGAACUUGUAAAUCCUGAAAACCCUUCAGUGAGGAAUUUUCCUAAGCACCUGUGUCCAGCUCUGAACCAACAGUGGCUUGACACAUACCUGAGACGAUAAGAGCACAAAUCCAGCUGCCCCUCCGGAAAGACCAUUCAAGGUCACGGGCGUUUUAAGAUGUGGCCCUCUUUAGGGCUUAUCUGUGGAAAAACAUCCAAGGCACAGACCAAACAGCCGCUUUGAAAACACACUUAAGACAGACCACAACCUUGCACACCGCUGUGGCCUCAGGACUCUGGGACUAAGGCAGGUUAUUAUUAACCUCCAAGUCAGACAACCUCCAAAGAAACCAGGACUCAAACCUGGGGCUGCACAGCUGGAGUAGGAGUGUGGUUCCCAAGCUACGAAACCAGUAAGUGCGACCCUACCUCCAGUUCCCUGAUGUAAUAUCCAAUAAUAAGACGAGUACUACUCAUCUUUCUUUUAAAUUUAAUUGUGGGAGAAUAUCCAUAACAAAAUUUACCAUUUUAACCAUUUUUAAGUAUAGAGUGCAGCAGCAUUAAGUACGUUCACACUGUUGUACAACAUCACCACCAGCCAUUUCCAGAACUUUUUCCAUCUUGCAAAAGUGAAACCUUCGCUCCCUUCCCCAAACCCCCCGCAACCAUCAUUCUGUUUUCUGUCUCUGAAUAUGACUACUCUAGGGAACCUAAUCUAAAUGAAAUCAUAUAGAGUAUUCGUCCUUUUGUGACUGGCUGAUUUCACUCGGCAUAAUGUCCUCAAGGUUCAUUCAUGUUGUUGCAUGUGUCAGAAUGUCCUUCCUUUUUAGGACUGAAUAAUAUUCUAUAUUUCUUCUUAAAGAAACAAUUCUCAACUUUAAAGUCUAAACUCUAUAGUCAAACCCUGCAUUUUCCAUGCCUAAAAGCACAGACACUGCAGUUCUUGUGCAAUGAAUGGUAAAUGCAUCCUUCAAUCUUUUGUGGGGAAAUUUGCAAUAUGUUCUCCAUUUUUGAUCUGUCUUGUAUUUUGGCCUCAUAUUCAGACCAGAAGAAUCUGCUUUACAAUUUGAAUCACAAGGGAUCCGAGAUGGGUGCUGUAGCCAACCCGACUUAACAGGCAGCAUUUCUAAGCACAGAAGAGAGAGAAUUGAAUCUGAUUUGAAGGGAUUCAGGAAAGGCUCAUAAAACUUCAGUGAAUGUCCCAUGCUUCUAAGAUCCUCUUCUUUUUGUCAUAGCAUGAUGUCUAAACCCACAGCAUAGUUCUUCAGCUAUUUCUGAAUUGCUGAGAUUAACCAAAAAACCAAUCCCAAAAAGAGAUAAAAAUAAUUGAUUCAAACUGAUUAUACAAUAAAGGGGAUUUAUUUCCUUAAAACUGGAAAAAUACAAAAAUAGGGUAGGUUUCAGGCACAAUUUAUUCUGGGCUACUACUGCAGUUUUCAGUGAUUCUUCCAGUCCUGUCUCUCACCCCACAAUGACUUUGUCCUUAGGCUGGCUUCCCUCCGGAUCACAAGAUGUCCUCAGACACCUACUGGAGCUAUGUGGACCCUUAUUCACAUCCAGAGAGAACACUGCUUCCCAGAACCACCAAACCACAGUUCUGAGCAGCGUUCUAAGGGAUCAACCUGAGCUGUGGCCAGGAAAUGCCUCCCUGCUGAUUACAGGGUAGGGUAUAGUCCAUCUUUUGGGGAAGGGAGGAUGCUCUAAUGCUAGUUGGGGUUAAUUUCACCCAAAAUGCGUGGCUGCUAUGCAGUGCAGAUAAGAGUGGUCCCUAGAACAAAAUCUGGGUGCUGUGAGCAAAAGGAAAUGGUUGCCGAUCCAUGUCCCCCAAGGCACCCCAUGGCCUAAGUAAUGCUCCAUGUUAAUCCUUGUGUCAAAAUUUCACAUACUUCUUGAGAAGGCCUUGAUUGGAGUAGUAAGCAAACUAGCCUUUUAACUUUUUCCCGUCUCAGGGAAUUGAUUUAUCCUUUGUGAUCACAUUAAUGUUUGCAGAUGUCUUGAUCUUCAUUAAUUAUGUGAAUUUUUGUAAAGUUGAACAUUAAAGCCAACAGCAGCCAUACUUCUCUUUUAGGAAAAUGGCAGCCACAGCCACUCUGAGCCUCAAGGUUUACACAGCCCACAACAUUCUCUGGAUGGGACUGUACAUGCAGCAUGGGGGACAUCUGAGUCACCAGCUACUCAUCUUGUAUAGCAAGAGAACAAGAAAAAACUGAGUAUAGUAACCAAGGAAGAAAAUCAUAAAAGUUCACACACUGAAAACAACUUUCUAAUUCUCUUACCCAUAGUUGGCCACAGUUGAGCUAAGAAUCAUCACCAACAGUUAACUCAAAAAGGCAUGCAAGUAUGUGGUAAGAUACUAUAAUUUUGAUGUUAGAAAAUAAAUCCACAUGUUUAUAACUUAAGUAACAGUGAUUUGAAUCAAGGAGUAUUAAUGACUAUACCCUUAGAAAAAGAAUGAUUCUAACCACUUAGCCUUCAGUACCCACCCCCUAUCAAAAACAAACACAUUCUGUGAUAACAAACAUCAUAAUAUGAUCUUUAUUUGUCUGCCCUGGAAAAAAACACAUCAAAUCAUGACUAGUGUUCCUGUUAUUCAUUCCUCCCCAACAAGUGGAAAAAAAAAAAAAAA
Long non-coding RNA from Cercocebus atys (sooty mangabey), 5974 nucleotides. RefSeq lists it as uncharacterized. The record is from RefSeq and is a predicted model, not a curated record. The transcript has 2 exons. NCBI's taxonomy places the organism in Eukaryota, Metazoa, Chordata, Mammalia, Primates, Cercopithecidae.